AGAUAUUAGGACAAUCUAGCUAUUAUAGUUGUCACCCCAUUGAUCACUAGAGUUAAUUCAGCUUUUCUGACUGGCUAGGCAGAUGUUUCCUUCUUUGUUCACUGCUCCACAUGCGUCCCACCCAAAGCGGCUGAACAGUGGAAGAGAUGACCGUCUCAGACAGGAGUAUAGCAUUCUUUGGUCAAGAGUAUGCAAAAGCUGUGUGUUUCCUGCUACAACCUUCAAACAAAGGUUCUUUAUCCCAAGAGUUUUCAGGUUGACCUAUCAAAUAAUCAUGCCAGUGUUGAAAUCCUAAUAUGUAUCUCUGAUACUAUUGAUGAAUUA
RNAcentral lists this small nuclear RNA (324 nucleotides) under Salvator merianae (Argentine black and white tegu). RNAcentral describes it as "7SK RNA (ENSSMRG00000020647.1)". It matches the Rfam family "7SK RNA". Rfam says of the family: 7SK was discovered as an abundant small nuclear RNA in the mid-70s but a possible function has only recently been suggested. Two independent studies have found that 7SK RNA binds the CDK9/cyclin T complex (known as elongation factor P-TEFb). The record is from Rfam by way of RNAcentral. Lineage: Eukaryota; Metazoa; Chordata; Lepidosauria; Squamata; Teiidae.